Nymphaea colorata (pocket water lily) is the source of this 4110-nucleotide long non-coding RNA. RefSeq lists it as uncharacterized. The transcript has 2 exons. The record is from RefSeq and is a predicted model, not a curated record. NCBI's taxonomy places the organism in Eukaryota, Viridiplantae, Streptophyta, Magnoliopsida, Nymphaeales, Nymphaeaceae.
UAGAAAGAAGGGUCAGAAUUCCUCUGAGUAUGAGAAAAUCCAGCCAUGAAUGGAACAUGGCCCAAAAUAAUAUUUGAUUUUUGUAAAACAAAUAUCUUCAAAUCUUAACACAUAUUAGAGUAACGUCACAUAUUCAGCAACAAAACGAGGUGUGCACAACCUCCCCAAAAUUUCGUAGGCUUCCAACCGUGGUCCUCUGACAAUGUCAAGGUCAUCGUGCCGAGCAACAAAAAUCCCCGUGGGCACUCACGGGCAGAACAGAACAUCUCUUCACCAGGCGAUCCAACGGAUCGAGGGCACCUGAAGUGAAGCCUCCUGAGAUAUCCCAGAUCGCCGUUGCAGCAGCAUGGUCUCUCUAGGAACCCGGGUGGAGAGACCAGGAGUCUCGCUCCCAAACAAAAACAGAACAGAAUCCCGGGCCCUUGUGCCGCCCAAUACCCUGUGGGCCCUCCAGUACAGCCAGAGGAGCGUGCGUCAACAGUGAGCUCAGACGCACCACUACCUCCCGGGACGAAACCGAUCACUGGGCAAAACAGAAAGCUCGCACUCCCAUAAACCAUUGCACAAAGUCCACGUUUCGCCUUCGAAUUUUCAAAAGUGAGGGUUUACCAAUGCUAGACAUCGUCUAGUACCUCUCACAGAAACCACCCGCCCUCAGGCUCGGUUUCUCAAACAUAAUAAUUCAGCUAUUUUAAAUCUUGAUUUAAUAGUAAUAAAGCAAAACUCAUCGCAUCUAGAAACCUCGAUUAGCAAUAUUAUAAUCCUUAUUUGAAACAAUAAAAUUUAUAUUUAAAUUCUCAAAACGUGACUUUCCUCCCCUAAUGGUUCCAAAGUUACUUUCAGAACCAUAUUUCUGAAAUUUUAAACACCACAAAGAGCAUCAAAAAGUAAUAACACAUAACUUUUCGUUCUUAAUUUAUAAAACCCCCUUUUUGUAAUUUUUAAGAAUUCAGAGGGUACCAAAACGUGAUUUCUUAUUAAAUGCAUGGUUUUUGCUGAAAAUCACUUUCCCAAGCCUCUUUUUGAAGAGGUUUUCAGCAAAAACGUUGCGGCAUGAACGCUUAAAUGUUAUAACAGCUUCUUCGAAAAUUUUGAUAAUAAGGUGGACCCACUUUGAAAUUUUUCAUCUUUGAUAUAAAAUCGGUCCACGCUCGUUUUUCUUCAUUUCACGCCUGCGUUUUCUCUCUCCUCACGAGCUGCUCCUCCGUCUUCUUCUCGCUCGACCAGCAGUGGGGAUUCCACCGUUCGUUCUCAACCCAAAACCGAAGAGAAACUCUUCUCCUGCUGCGAGAUUCCGGCGUUGGGUUUCCACGUCGCUGCGCCACCGGCCGUCUGACAGCUUCUGCCGCUGCCUCCUCCUGUCUUCAAGAGAACGAAAUCAAAGAGGGAAAGAGAGAGCAGGGCUCCCUGCGCUUGGGUCUACCGCGCCGCCGCCCACCGUCCGACCGAUGGUGGCACUUCCACGGUAUCCCCCGUCUCUUAAACCAGAGAAGGAUUUGUUUUCCUCUCUGGCCUUCCUCCGUGAACAGCAAGGAAAAAGGAAGGGACCACAGCUACCGCAGCCACUGCUUUCUCUGUUCUCAGGUUGCAGCGCCACACUCAUGAGGACGACGACCUUCGAGUUUUGUCCCCACACUCGUUUCGACAAGAAGGAACAGGCAGGGAAGGAGGGACGACGGGAGGGUUACUGUUUUCCCCCAAAUCGCCUCCGCUGCAAAUCUCCCUGUAUUCCUUUCUCCCAGAGUUCUCCAGCAAACAGGAAGAUUGAAGAAAAGGGCGGACGCUGCUGUCGGUGCCCGUGACAGAAACAGGGAAGUCUACGACUUCGAUUCUCACGGGAGAGGAUGACAGAACAGGGGUUUUUCAUCUAACCUGUGUGUUCGGAAAUAUGGCCGAACCUGAUGCAGUGGGGAUUCCACCGUUCGUUCUCAACCCAAAACCGAAGAGAAACUCUUCUCCUGCUGCGAGAUUCCGGCGUUGGGUUUCCACGUCGCUGCGCCACCGGCCGUCUGACAGCUUCUGCCGCUGCCUCCUCAUGUCUUCAAGAGAACGAAAUCAAAGAGGGAAAGAGAGAGCAGGGCUCCCUGCGCUUGGGUCUACCGCGCCGCCGCCCACCGUCCGACCGAUGGUGGCACUUCCACGGUAUCCCCCGUCUCUUAAACCAGAGAAGGAUUUGUUUUCCUCUCUGGCCUUCCUCCGUGAACAGCAAGGAAAAAGGAAGGGACCACAGCUACCGCAGCCGCUGGUUUCUCUGUUCUCAGGUUGCAGCGCCACACUCAUGAGGAUGACGACCUUCGAGUUUUGUCCCCACACUCGUUUCGACAAGAAGGAACAGGCAGGGAAGGAGGGACGACGGGAGGGUUACUGUUUUCCCCCAAAUCGCCUCCGCUGCAAAUCUCCCUGUAUUCCUUUCUCCCAGAGUUCUCCAGCAAACAGGAAGAUUGAAGAAAAGGGCGGAUGCUGCUGUCGGUGCCCGUGACAGAAACAGGGAAGUCUACGACUUCGAUUCUCACGGGAGAGGAUGACAGAACAGGGGUUUUUCAUCUAACCUGGGUGUUCGGAAAUAUGGCCGAACCUGAUGGUAUUUCUCUAAUCACCCCCUUUUUGUUUUCAUUAUUAUUGUAUAUGUAUGUACGUUUUUGCACACAUGUAGUUAUGUUUCAUGCUUGCAUAUGCGCAUGGAUGUAAAUCAAUAAUAGACAAAACUAAGAGCAUGCGACACUUCACAAAUCGAUUCUUAUUUUGGGAGUAAGAACACAUAGAUCUACCAUUAAGACAUGCGGAUAAGUGUAUCUAUUCCCCAAACAUCCAACAGAAAAUAGAAGGCUACAUUAUCCCUGAACAUCCCCAUACCUUUUUUAAUUCUGAAAUGACUUCAACAACCAACCACUUCAAUCUUCAACUAGAAAGGGGGCAAAGAUGAGGACGUCCCUCUCUCUCUCUCUUCCUUUCUUUCUUUCUCUUGUCGUUGGAGUCUCCGAUUGAGGGCUGCAGCAAUAAGAGAUUCCUUUCUUUCUUUCUCUUGUCGUUGGAGUCUCAGAUUGAGGGCUGCAGCAAUAAGAGAUGACAAAUUUUUCAAUCUCUCACAAGGAAAUCAAUCAUCCUCUACUUUGGCAGUUACAACUUCAUCCUUAUCUUUUCCAUAAUUAUCUCCUUUAUGAUAAACUUGACGUUUUUUGAAAAAUCAUUAAGAAUCAUUUGAUCUUUCUUUUGAUUCCUCCCCAAAUUAACGUUUAUUGAUUCCUUCCCAAAUUAACGUUUCAAAUAUUAAAGAAAACUUAAUAAAAUUCGUGGGUCUUACAACCUCGACCAACGGUGCUGCUCAACUCUCUGAUAAUCCGGCGAGCUCCGUUUCCCGUUGGGUACUAGGGCGUCCUCUCUCUGAAUGAGACUAAGACAGAGAGUGUGCAGAGAGAGGCGAAACGGUAAGACAGAGCGGGCGACGGUGAUUCCCUCCUUGUUGAAGAGGCAGAAUGACCGACGAGUAUCCCACCUCGUUGAAGAGGCGGUGAGAGAAGCUGGAGGCGCUGAGCCUGGAGCUCCCGCGGGCAUUGCUCGAGCGGACGGAGCUCGAGUGGCUUUCAAAUGCGGGCGUCGCUCGAGCGGAAGAAACCACGAGCGGAAGAGCGGGCGUCGCUCGAGCGGAAGGAACCACGCGGGCAGAUGAGCGGAAGAGCGGGCGUCGCUCGAGCGGAAGGAACCACCGACCACGCGGGCAGAGUGGGCGUCGCUCGAGCGGAAACACGCGGGCAGAGCUCGAGCGGGCGGAACAGCUCUUUCGCGCUCAUCUCUUCCUCCAGAAGGCCAUGAAAUCUCAGGACAGAGGACAGAGGGCACCAAAAGAUGUGGACAGAAAAAGGCAACCAGAAUCACAGCAAGUUCUGGUGGCAGAAGACAAGCGUGAGAAGAGAAAAGGAGGAGAAGAGAAAAGAAGGAGGAAGAUGAAAAGCAGGAAGAGAGGGUAUUUUGCAUGGAUGUACUAAAGAUCUUGGGAUUGGGAAAUCACAAUUGUUGAUUUACAACAAUAAAAGCAAAGAUUAUUAUUUCUUUCUUGUAAUUUAACUUGUUGAUUUUUCUUGCUGAUAUUCAGGAAAGAUUUUCUUGAUUCUA